UAACACGUGGGUAACCUACCCCCAGGAGGGGGAUAACCCCGGGAAACCGGGGCUAAUACCCCAUAAUGCCGGGUGCCACUAAGGUAUCCCGGCCAAAGGGGGCCUCUGCUCUGCAUGCUCCCGCCUGGGGAUGGGCCCGCGGCCCAUCAGGUAGUUGGUGGGGUAAUGGCCCACCAAGCCUAUGACGGGUAGCCGGCCUGAGAGGGUGGCCGGCCACAGUGGGACUGAGACACGGCCCGCACCCCUACGGGGGGCAGCAGUGGGGAAUCGUGGGCAAUGGGCGCAAGCCUGACCCCACGACGCCGCGUGCGGGAAGAAGCCCUUCGGGGUGUAAACCGCUGUCGGGGGGGACGAAGGGACCGUGGGUUAAUACCUCACGGUCUUGACGGUACCCC
This 395-nucleotide ribosomal RNA is filed under the name uncultured Aquificales bacterium. RNAcentral's name for it is "partial 16S ribosomal RNA". It matches the Rfam family "Bacterial small subunit ribosomal RNA", at positions 111 to 481 of the family's 1533-position model. Lineage: Bacteria; Pseudomonadati; Aquificota; Aquificia; Aquificales. The record is from RNAcentral.